RNAcentral lists this ribosomal RNA (490 nucleotides) under uncultured bacterium. RNAcentral describes it as "partial 16S ribosomal RNA". It matches the Rfam family "Bacterial small subunit ribosomal RNA", at positions 30 to 507 of the family's 1533-position model. The record is from RNAcentral.
AUUGAACGCCGGCGGCAGGCCUAACACAUGCAAGUCGAACGGUAACAGGAAGAAGCUUGCUUCUUUGCUGACGAGUGGCGGACGGGUGAGUAAUGUCUGGGAAACUGCCUGAUGGAGGGGGAUAACUACUGGAAACGGUAGCUAAUACCGCAUAACGUCGCAAGACCAAAGAGGGGGACCUUCGGGCCUCUUGCCAUCGGAUGUGCCCAGAUGGGAUUAGCUAGUAGGUGGGGUAACGGCUCACCUAGGCGACGAUCCCUAGCUGGUCUGAGAGGAUGACCAGCCACACUGGAGCUGAGACACGGUCCAGACUCCUACGAGAGACAGCAGUGGGGAAUAUUGCACAAUGGGCGCAAGCCUGAUGCAGCCAUGCCGCGUGUAUGAAGAAGGCCUUCGGGUUGUAAAGUACUUUCAGCGGGGAGGAAGGGAGUAAAGUUAAUACCUUUGCUCAUUGACGUUACCCGCAGAAGAAGCACCGGCUAACUCCGUG